AAAAACAUGGCUCUUUGGUUUUAAUAAAUAAAGAGUCGAGCCUGCCCAGUGAGUAUUAAUUUUUUUAACGGCCGCGGUAUUUUGACUGUGCUAAGGUAGCAUAAUCAUUUGCUCUAUAAUUGAGGGCUAGCAUGAAUGGUUUGACGUGAGCAAAGCUGUCUCUAUAUUGAUUUUUUAGAAUUUGAUUUUUAGGUGAAGAAACCUAAAUUUUAUUAAAAGACAAGAAGACCCUAUCGAGCUUAAAAAAAGCAGAUAAAGCAUAGGUUAUUAACUGACAAACUUAUUUAUUUAAGAUUUUGGUUGGGGCGACUUAGGAACAAAUAAAGCUUCCUUCUCGUUAUUAAGUUUUACAGAUGUUGAUCCAAGCAUUUUGAUUAAAGAAAUCAGUUACCGUAGGGAUAACAGCAUAAUUCUCUUUGAGAGUUCCUAUCGAAAAGAGAGUUUGUGACCUCGAUGUUGGACUAAAAUUUCCUAAAGAUGUAGCAGUCUUUAAGGGUUGGUCUGUUCGACCAUUAAAAUUUUACGUGAU
Molecule: ribosomal RNA, 529 nt
Filed under: Dentiovula dorsuosa
Lineage: Eukaryota; Metazoa; Mollusca; Gastropoda; Littorinimorpha; Ovulidae
Description: partial 16S ribosomal RNA
Rfam family: Bacterial large subunit ribosomal RNA
Source: RNAcentral